AUUAGAUAAAAAACCAAUGCCCUUCGGGGCUUUCUGGUGAUUCAUAAUAACUUAACGAAUCGCAUGGCCUUGAGCCGGCGAUGGUUCAUUCAAAUUUCUGCCCUAUCAACUUUCGAUUGUAGGAUAGAGGCCUACAAUGGUUUCAACGGGUAACGGAGAAUUAGGGUUCGGUUCCGGAGAGGGAGCCUGAGAAACGGCUACCACAUCCAAGGAAGGCAGCAGGCGCGCAAAUUACCCAAUCCCGACACGGGGAGGUAGUGACAAUAAAUACUGAUACAGGGCUCUUUUGGGUCUUGUAAUUGGAAUGAGUACAAUUUAAAUCCCUUAACGAGGAACAAUUGGAGGGCAAGUCUGGUGCCAGCAGCCGCGGUAAUUCCAGCUCCAAUAGCGUAUAUUAAAGUUGUUGCAGUUAAAAAACUCGUAAUUGAACCUUGGGUCUGGCUGGCCGGUCCGCCUCACCGCGUGCACUGGUCCGGCCGGACCUUUCCUCUUGGGGAUCCGCAUGCCCUUUACUGGG
RNAcentral lists this ribosomal RNA (517 nucleotides) under uncultured fungus. Its description in RNAcentral is "SSU rRNA". It matches the Rfam family "Eukaryotic small subunit ribosomal RNA", at positions 209 to 726 of the family's 1831-position model. Lineage: Eukaryota; Fungi. The record is from RNAcentral.